Non-coding RNA from Sebastes umbrosus (honeycomb rockfish), 614 nucleotides. NCBI's taxonomy places the organism in Eukaryota, Metazoa, Chordata, Actinopteri, Perciformes, Sebastidae. The record is from the annotation of a RefSeq genome assembly.
GAUAUGAUAAGUAGGGAUGAGAUCAGGUUGUUCCGUCUGAUGAUGAUGAUGAUGAUGAUGAUGAUGAUGAUGUCAACAGACCACAGCAGGAGGAAGAGCUCCACAGCUGAAUAUGAACAGCUUCAUGUUGGCAGUGAAGAGCUGCUGUGUUCUCUUUAGUGUUCAUUCACAACCAGUGAAAGUAAUGCAGCUCUUUUUAGUUUGGAUGAUGAUGUUCACGUUUCAUCCUGGAUCCUCGGAGGAUUUAGUGAAACCAUUUAAAGAUGUAAUGCCGGCGUUGGAAGGAGACAAUGUGACUCUCUCCUGCAGCUAUUCAGGCUCUGUACAAUACCUCUACUGGUAUCAACACAAGUCCAGUUCAUCUCCACAGCUUCUCAUCACGGAGUAUUCAGAGGACACAGCAGGGUUGUCUUUUACACAUGACAAAAAUACUAAAGAGUUUCAUCUGAUCAUCUCCUCUGCUGCAGUGUCACACUCUGCUGUGUACUACUGUGCUGUGAAGCCCACAGUGACAGGAAACACCAAAACUCUGUACAAAAACCUUUGGAGCAAAGACAACACAAUACUCCACAACGUCCACUAGAGGGCCACAUUAUCCAGUAGGAGGUGCACUA